This 72-nucleotide transfer RNA is filed under the name Phrynosoma platyrhinos (Desert horned lizard). Its description in RNAcentral is "tRNA-OTHER". Lineage: Eukaryota; Metazoa; Chordata; Lepidosauria; Squamata; Phrynosomatidae. The record is from RNAcentral.
GCCAGUGUGGUGUAGUGGUCUGAGCAUUGGACUAUAAUUCUGGAGAUCAAGGUUUGAAUCCCUGCUUGGCCA